GAUGAACGCUGGCGGCGUGCCUAAUACAUGCAAGUCGAGCGAACAGAUAAGGAGCUUGCUCCUUUGACGUUAGCGGCGGACGGGUGAGUAACACGUGGAUAACCUACCUAUAAGACUGGGAUAACUUCGGGAAACCGGAGCUAAUACGGGAUAACAUAUUGAACCGCAUGGUUCAAUAGUGAAAGGCGGCUUUGCUGUCACUUAUAGAUGGAUCCGCGCCGUAUUAGCUAGUUGGUAAGGUAACGGCUUACCAAGGCAACGAUACGUAGCCGACCUGAGAGGGUGAUCGGCCACACUGGAACUGAGACACGGUCCAGACUCCUACGGGAGGCAGCAGUAGGGAAUCUUCCGCAAUGGGCGAAAGCCUGACGGAGCAACGCCGCGUGAGUGAUGAAGGUCUUCGGAUCGUAAAACUCUGUUAUCAGGGAAGAACAAAUGUGUAAGUAACUGUGCACAUCUUGACGGUACCUGAUCAGAAAGCCACGGCUAACUACGUG
RNAcentral lists this ribosomal RNA (497 nucleotides) under uncultured bacterium. RNAcentral describes it as "partial 16S ribosomal RNA". It matches the Rfam family "Bacterial small subunit ribosomal RNA", at positions 28 to 507 of the family's 1533-position model. The record is from RNAcentral.